Molecule: long non-coding RNA, 1418 nt
Filed under: Coturnix japonica (Japanese quail)
Lineage: Eukaryota; Metazoa; Chordata; Aves; Galliformes; Phasianidae
Description: lncRNA (ENSCJPG00005014790.1)
Source: RNAcentral
AGCCCAUAUAGCUUUAUCAAGAGUAAGAACUCAGUGCCUCUCUGCUUGCUCGUCAAGGCUGUGGAGUCUCCUUGGAGGUCUCCAGACUCCACCUGGCCGUGGGCCUGGAUGCCCUGCUCAGGGUGGCCCUGUUGGGGCAGGGAUGGUGCCUGAUGGGCCCAGAGGGCUCUGCCUGCCUCAGCCUGCCUCAGCCUUUCUGUGACUCUGUGAAAUUUGCUUUUCCCCUUCGGUUCUGCAUUUCAACAUCUGACACAGUGUGUGUACACUGACCUCGGGGCACUGAAUUGCCCAAAUUCCUCGCCAUAAUUCUCCACAAAAUCACAUUACAAAGUAUCCGUUGGGUUUCUCAAAGGCUUGAGUGACUCUCCAGGCAACACUUGGGCACAGAAAAGCAUAAGCAAGAGCACCUGCACACGUCCUUUGCCCUGACAAACACAGAGCUUCCUAGUUUCUCUCUGGCAGCUUUACCUGAAGCACAAACAUGGCCUUUCAACUUCCACACCCCACAGCAGCCUCCCCAGGAAAACAACACCCCCGCAGCCACCCUGCAGCCCGGUAACCCGGCUCUGCGGAAAAAUGCAGGAUAAUUACAGCUUCAUUUCAGCAGCAGGUGCAGCUCAUUAACCUGCAGCCGCCUGCCAUCUCCCAGAGAGCAGAGACAGCUCAGCUCUGCUGGAGAGAGAGGCCUGCAGGGAAAAUUCACUGAGCAGCGGGGCCUGGGGAGAUGUUUCAGCCACGGUGUUAGGUUUUGCUGCAGUGACAUCUGCUCUCCUCUCUGCAAGGUCUGCCUUUUGCACAGGCAGGUAUAUCUCUGACCUGCCAGCCUGGCUUCAGCUCGCUGCCAGGCUCAGCCUUCUUUUAGUAUGUGACACAGUGAACAUACAUUUGGCAUGUGCACCUGGCUGCUUCUGGAGUUAUCCACGCUUCAAGCCACCCAUCAGCAAAAGACAUCCUGCCUAUAGCAAGCCAUGCUGCCAGGUGAACUGUGCUCCCUUUGUUUUUGUUAAUCUGCUGCCAUUAGCAUUAAUUGGCCUAUGACAGGAGCAUGAUGCUGUUGCAUAUGUUUUUAUGAUCACUCCUAGAUUGCUGUUACUAAGAAAGCCAAAUCAAACUGGAAAAACUCUUCUUCCCACAGCUGAGAUUUGAAUGGAGAUCAACUGCUUAACCUGCAAGGAAGGAAUUUUAUUAUUUCAGGUGCUUUUUCUCCAGAGUAAUUGCUGUGGUCUGUUUUACAUUUUAAUUAAUGUUGCUUGGUUUGUUCAGGCAGCUUUAGCUUGCUUGUUCAUCACUCUGUGGUAGGAGGUAUGCUUUGUAAUUAAAAACAAGUCUGCUUGUAAGAUCAUCAGUAAGGAAGUCAUAGUUUUUACAUAAAGCACUUUGUAGUCACCUUUAGAAAAUAAAUGUGUAAACUGCAAUCA